Molecule: long non-coding RNA, 2007 nt
Filed under: Panax ginseng (ginseng)
Lineage: Eukaryota; Viridiplantae; Streptophyta; Magnoliopsida; Apiales; Araliaceae
Description: long non-coding RNA (PGIN_LNC005398)
Source: RNAcentral
GAUAACUUUCUGCAUGGGCCACGACCUGCUAUGCUCAAGCUCAAUUCACCACUCCCCAAAAGCAUUAGCGUAAGCUGUGCAUGUGCUUCCUCAUUAAGACUGCCCAUCAAAUUCUUCUUUUCACAACAACAAAAUUAAACAAGACAAGACAAGAUAAGAAAAGUAACAUGAUUUAAGUAAGUGUACAGCCAGAGAAAUCUAGAUAUAUAAAUAGCUCAAUACUGAUUUAUAUCCCACUCCGCAUUAAUGCUGUAUUUAGUAUGAAUAUGACCUUUAUAUUGCCAAGAAAAAGAAAAUGAAAACAAGAGAAGAUCAGUAGUCUAACAACUAAUAUAAACCAGGUAGCAUAGAAUGGUCCCCCAUGCAAAACCUAGGCCCUAGCAGUGUUCAUUUGAGUCUUUAUAAUCCUGAGCAGAGAAUGUUGGUGACUUUGUAUAUGCCUACACAAUUUGAUUCAUUUCACAUAUGAGUUGGAACAUCUUAACAUUUUUCUAAGAUUAUCAAAUGCAUUCUUUGAAGUUACAAGUAACUAGUCAUUAAGCCAAAAUAUAUAAUGCCAGUGAAGAAAAAACCUGGAGUAUUAGCUGGAAUUAAAGCCUUAAAUUCAUAUCAAUUAUAGACUACGUUACCCACCGGCCACCACUACGCCAGCCGCCAGCUGCCGCCCCCCUUACGCCACUGAAGGAAAUUGGAGUCUCAACUGACUCUCAAGUUACAGUACUUACAACUUGUACAAAAUUUAAUUCCAAUCUCAAUUCAAAAAAUGUAUUUGAUACUCAAGACUCGAUAAAUGUAGACUUAAUUAAAUUGAAAAAGAUGUAUUCCGUAUUUGAUACAAUUGAAACUGAGGCAAUUAAUUAAAUUUGACCAAAAUUGAGGCCAACCCUACGUCACUACAAAAGCCAAGUGUUAGGUUAUUGAUAUAGAAAAAGCAUAAGCUACCUCUUGUAUGUAUUACAAAUUUCGACCAUCUGCAAAGCAAAGUUGUACACAAAACCAAAUCAGAUGAACAUACUACUACUUAGUUUUGCAUAUUGCUUUAAAAUCACAUUUUUGGCACCAGAAAGUUAAAAGUUGAAUCCUUCUAACUUAAAUUUUGGUGGAGGAACCUAGAUUUUUGACUCUCGGUUCAUAAUAAUUCACAUCUCUAAAGCAACUAAAGUUCUAAACAUUCUAUGCUUCUCUCUUUUCAUGAUAUAUAAAAAGGAUGUUAGAAAAAGAAAAAUGGCCCAUAAAGUGCAUCGCAAAGCAGUAUUUAAUGGAACAAAUACAACCUAGACAUUAUUGAAAAAGUAAAUCCUCACCGAGACCAGGCGAAAUUGGCUUAGAAGUGUCCAAAUUUGGAUUUUCAUACGUUACUAUUUUACUAUGUGAGAAAUUUCACACCAGGAUUUCUUCCUUUGGACAGAACCUGCAAUGUUGUGCUUUUGGUUAAUGGAUGUUCGAGAGGUCUAAGAGGAAUAGAGGAUUUAUACUUCCAUCCUCCAAUCACACACCAUAAACAAAUGGGAGUAGAGGAAACUCUCUGGCAGCAAAAUCACCCGACAGCAAAGGGUGAACCGCCUUUUUUAUACAAUUCCAUCAACAGAACUAGAUUCAGAACAACAGAUCAAUAAACGACGUAUCAACCCAUUGGACAACUGGAUGUAAUGCAGUUUUCAGAUCAACAAUUUAUUCCCGAAAGGAAUGCCCAGCCGCGUAAGAGAAUUAAACCUGAAUUUCGCAUUCUUUAUGCAUGUUCUUCCAAGGAAGGAGAUGGAAGCAAGAGCUCAUUGUUCUGGAGUCUUAACUUAUCAAUUACUUUAGGUCCCAUUUUCUGGCUUGAAGAGACCUAGUACGGGAACACGCACGUUAAUUGUAUCAGAAAAAUGCAGAGCUGAGAGGUUUCUUUGAACUUCUGUAUGAUUACUCUAAUUGUUAGGGUAGGGAGGAUUUUGUCAGGCUUCCUUUUUUUCCGGAAACACUUGGGAUGCACAGAAACACUUGGGGGCGGAUGUUUUUUUUUUU